UUGAUGUGUGAUAAUAAAGGCAGAAGGACAGAAAUGACCCGGCACAGACGAUACUGAACUUUCAGGGAGUGAAAUUCUCCGUUUGGGUCAUCCUCUGUCCUCUUCUAUAGAACAGUCUGAAACUUGUGUUGUGUGCUUUUCAUUCUAGGAUAAAAAGGGGUUAUAUUUAAUAACCCUAUCAGCCUGGUGCCGUGACACGGAUCCCAACAUAUCAACUCACUGAGGAGCAACGCGCUGAAAUCCACCGGUGGUCGGAGUCAAGGACCUGUCUAAAGUCCCGGGAGGUAAUUUCCUCACUGGGCCAGCAUCAUAGGUUAACUCCUUUCGCCAACGAGGGAUUGACGGGAUCCGACCUGGAGAAAAACACACCACAGCAAGAUCCACAAGCAGUGAGACCAGGAGACUGGGUGUUAACUGGGCGAGCCAAAGGUGGGAAGGACCAUCUCAAGUGCUCCUGACCACGCCAACAGCUGUGAAGAUCGCUGACAGACCUUCCUGGAUUCACCUCAGCCACUUCCAGAUCCGCUGAGUGAGAGAGGAAAGAGGUUCAUCCACUCCGCUGCCAUGAAGAUUUGGCUGGGUAAUAUCCCAAACCACUACGAUGACAACCUAUGGGAAACGUAUGCAAGAACUGUUUUCGAGCUGCAUAAUAAGACUGAUUGCUACGUGUGUUCUGUCAUGCCUAAAUCUACCAAGCAGCCUACCUUGUACAUAACUCCCAUGAACACCUCACAGGCUAUUUAUUUUGCAUCAUAUGCAUUCCAGUUUAGCAAUCAUGCCUAAAGUCUAUGAUUGCUAAAACUAUGGGAAAUGUAAUGUUUCAAUAUCAAAUGCUUUCACAAAUCCCUCUUUGUACACCCCUGCUCAGUUAAUGAACGCCACGACUGGGGAGAUAUGAUGGAACAAGUGUGCAAAGGAGUAAAGUCGUGACUGUUCUCUUACAGUAAUGUUACAGGCUAUCCCGCCAAGAUGAAGGCUGCUAUGUCUAAAGGAAUGAAACAUCCAGUGUGUAUUCACUCACCUAGUGAAUACACACUGGAAACUAUGGGAAAUGUAAUGUUUCAAUAUCAAAUGCUUUCACAAAUCCCUCUUAAAGAAGUACACCCCUGCUCAGUUAAUGAACGCCACGACUGGGGAGAUUAUGAUGGAACAAGUGUGCAAAGGAGUAAAGUCGUCACUGUUCUCUUACAGUAAUGUUACAGGCUAUCCCACUGUCAUGUUAGGAGGAAAGACAGAAGAAGUUGUCUCAGUUGGAAAACGAUGCUUCCAUUU
Molecule: long non-coding RNA, 1272 nt
Organism: Fundulus heteroclitus (mummichog)
Lineage: Eukaryota; Metazoa; Chordata; Actinopteri; Cyprinodontiformes; Fundulidae
Exons: 3
Source: RefSeq, a predicted model, not a curated record